UGCGUAGGCGGUUUAUUAAGUCAGUGGUGAAAGACGAUAGCUCAACUAUCGAGGUGCCAUUGAUACUGAUGAACUUGAGUGCACACGAGGUAAGCGGAAUGGACGGUGUAGCGGUGAAAUGCAUAGAUAUCGUCCAGAACACCGAUAGUGAAGACAGCUUACCAGAGUGCAACUGCGCUGAGGCACGAAAGUGUGGGGAUCAAACA
This 206-nucleotide ribosomal RNA is filed under the name uncultured bacterium. Its description in RNAcentral is "partial 16S ribosomal RNA". It matches the Rfam family "Bacterial small subunit ribosomal RNA", at positions 568 to 774 of the family's 1533-position model. The record is from RNAcentral.